GAUGAAAAACGUAGCGAAAUGCGAUAAGUAAUGUGAAUUGCAGAAUUCAGUGAAUCAUCGAAUCUUUGAACGCUCAUUGCGCCCGGUAGUAUUCUGCCGGGCAUGCCUGUUCGAGCGUCAUUUCAACCAUCAAGCCCCAGCGCUUGUGUUGGGGGCCUGCGGCUGCCGCAGCCCCCUAAAAGCAGUGGCGGGCUCGCUAUCACACCGAGUGCAGUAGUUCAUCUUCUCUCCGGUCUUGUGAGGCGGGUUCCGGCCGUGAAACACCCCACUACAUUCAAGGUUGACCUCGGAUCAGGUAGGAAUACCCGCUGAACUUAAGCAUAUCAAUAAGCGGAGGA
This 338-nucleotide unclassified non-coding RNA is filed under the name soil metagenome. RNAcentral describes it as "partial contains 5.8S ribosomal RNA, internal transcribed spacer 2, and large subunit ribosomal RNA". The stretch from base 1 to 120 matches the Rfam family "5.8S ribosomal RNA", at positions 35 to 154 of the family's 154-position model. The record is from RNAcentral.